This 494-nucleotide ribosomal RNA is filed under the name uncultured bacterium. RNAcentral's name for it is "partial 16S ribosomal RNA". It matches the Rfam family "Bacterial small subunit ribosomal RNA", at positions 28 to 507 of the family's 1533-position model. The record is from RNAcentral.
GACGAACGCUGGCGGCGUGCUUAACACAUGCAAGUCGAACGGUGAAGCGCCUUCCUUUUUGGUGGGUGUGGAUGAGUGGCGAACGGGUGAGUAACACGUGAGUAACCUGCCCCCUUCUUCUGGAUAACCGCAUGAAAGUGUGGCUAAUACGGGAUAUUCUGGGUCUGUCGCAUGAUGGGUCUGGGAAAGAUAUUGUUUCGGUGGGGGAUGGGCUCGCGGCCUAUCAGCUUGUUGGUGGGGUGAUGGCCUACCAAGGCGGUGACGGGUAGCCGGCCUGAGAGGGUGGACGGUCACACUGGGACUGAGACACGGCCCAGACUCCUACGGGAGGCAGCAGUGGGGAAUAUUGCACAAUGGGCGCAAGCCUGAUGCAGCGACGCCGCGUGAGGGAUGGAGGCCUUCGGGUUGUGAACCUCUUUCGCCAGUGAAGCAGGCCUGCCUCGUCUGUGGGUGGGUUGACGGUAGCUGGAUAAGAAGCGCCGGCUAACUACGUG